UGAACCUGUGAGUGUGCAUAUUCUAAACUUGAAAAACGAGUCCAACGAUUGAAUUAGUCGAUAUUUCCAACAAAGAAGCUUAUUGGGGAUUGGGUGUGAUUUGGAUUUUUAUCGGGUAAAUUAAAACGGUUUUAUCGUCACAUUUUUUCGAGAUUCAUGCAUCAAUCAUUCCUACUGUUUGCCCAGUCACACCGGACCGCGGGCAGGAUGUAAUCGCAUUGACGCAUUCCACGAUUAUUCUGGAUCUUUGUUGUUGCACUGGGGGAAACAUUCUGCUGACGGGUCUAAUUGUCAACGCAUGGCGGCGCAUAAUCACGGUAACGGCGGCGUCGCGCAGGAGGAAGAAGUUAUUAAUGGACACUGACCUCGCCAGUUCUUAAUCCUCCUUAAUCUUCUUGCUGCGCCGAGCGUGACUGCUUGCGUGAAGCGAAAGAAAAAUACUGCGUUCAGUAUCCAGUUCGACACAAACUUGCCAAUAUCAUCGUGAGCAUAACUGCUCAAUGCCCACUGCUCAAUGCAUAAUGCUGAAUGAGCAGAACUUUGCCCACAACAAUUUUACCGGAAAUCAAGUGCAACGUUUUAACGGCAGCAUUACUAACGAUGUUUCAGAAAUGCCGAUACGCUCCGAAUGCCCAACAGCAGGUUCAGGAGCUCCAGCUCCAGGUCCAGGAGCUCCAGCUCCAGGUCCAGGAGCUGCUGACACGGGCUGCAGGGUAUGAAGCCACCAUUAGCGACCAAAAAAGGACCAUUAGCGACCUGGCCGCCCAAACUGACGAGCUAUCCCGCACCAUCGGGCGUCUCGAGCUGAACGUGGAGGUUCUGCGCGCUGGUGGGGCGCGCCCGGCCGCUCCGAAGCCGUCUGAAAAGGCACCCCAGGCCUUGCUGGCGGACGACACCAAGUACGGAUUCAUCGUGAUGGGUGGGGACGGGGCACUGUUCGGGACGCUGCAGGGCAACACGCGCGAAAUCCUGUUGCAGUUCAAGGUCGAGCUGCCCAAGAAGUGCGAUGCCGUCGGGCACCGGUCGGCUGGGCGUUUCGCGCGUCGGCGCGUGGAGAAGCGGCACAACUAUGUGCGCAAGGUGGCCGAGGCCGCCGUCACCUGCUUCAUCGCCUACGAUCGCGUGAACGUUGCGGGCUUGGUGCUGGCCGGCAGUGCGGACUUCAAGAAGGAGCUGGAGCAGCCCGACAUUUGGGACCAGCGUCUCCAAGAUAAGAUUGUGAAGAUAGUGGAGAUCUCGUACGGCGGCAUGAUGGGCUUCAACAAUGCCAUCGAGCUGUCGGCCGACUGUCUGACCAGCUUCAAGUUCGUCCAGGUUAAGAUGCUCAUCGGUAAGUUCUUCGACGAGAUGUCGCAGGACACGGGAAAGGUGUGCUUCGGCGUGGACGACACGGUCAAGUGUCUUGAGUCGGGCGCGGUGGAGACGCUCAUCUGCUGGGAGAACCUGGACAUCAUGCGCUACGUCCUGUGCAACACCAACACCGGCGAGAAGAAGAUCGUCUACCUCCGCCGCAAGCAGACCAUCGACAAGAUAAAACUUACCGACGUACGUCGUUUUAGGGCGCUGGAGGAGGACGAGAAGAUGGGGCUGUUGAAGUGGCUAGCCUAUGAGCACAAAAAUUUUGAUGCGACGUUGGAGAUCGUCACCGGCAAUUCACCGGAAGUGUCGCAGUUCGUCCUGGGCUUCGGCGGCAUCGGCGGCAUUUUGCGCUGUCAGAUGAAGCCGCAGCACUUCGACACCAGCCUCCUCCAGGACGACGACAACGCCGCCAAGCUCGAUCUGGAUCUGGAUGACUACAAUCUGGAUGACUACAACGAUCUGGAUGACUACAAUCUGCUCUAAUCAGAGACAUGGGCGCCAGUCGAUUUUAUAUUGGUUGGUUCUGAUCUGUUGGUCGCUUUCGCUGGAUAGAGAGAAUGCAUGAAUGUCGGAUCGCGUCGCGCUUGUUGUAGAACGACAGCGCAUUGAGAUUUGAGCAGAAUGGUUAAUGUUCCCAGUCAACUUCCCACCAGCACACCGAUUCCGAAUAAAAUCAGGAACAUUCGAUUGAUCACGCGAGCGACGUACUUCCAGCCUACGCAAAGGGCAAAUACCGGUUCGCCACGCAGGCGAUGUUUAUGUCAUUCCAUCGGGUUGCUACCACCGAGUCUGCCUGGAUACAAAGAAACACCUGAAUGUAGUCAUGAUGCAUUACGAUAAAAAAGUCAACUGAUCAAUUUUUUUGGCCCGAGUCCCUAAAUGAUCCGGUAUACAUUGAGUACAAUGAACGGAUGAAAUGUCUGCGCCGUUCGUUAAGUUUCCCGUACCAAUCGCGACCGGGAUCCACAGAUUGUGUCAAGUCUUUAAACCGUCCGUGAAAACAGUGUGCUUAAGAAGUUGUAACUUUUAUACCGCAAGUCUGCAAGACUUAAUACAAUGGGCAAUCUCACCUUUACUUUGCUGCUUAUCCUACAACAAUUCCGGCAUGGGAAAUAUUAAAUAGGUGUAUGACAGGAAAUAUGUGUAUUCUUU
RNA transcript from Paramacrobiotus metropolitanus, 2511 nucleotides. It is a transcript of the gene named eukaryotic peptide chain release factor subunit 1-like, with no coding region annotated. Lineage: Eukaryota; Metazoa; Tardigrada; Eutardigrada; Parachela; Macrobiotidae. The record is from RefSeq and is a predicted model, not a curated record. The transcript has 11 exons.